UGGGGAAUUUUGGACAAUGGGCGAAAGCCUGAUCCAGCCAUGCCGCGUGAGUGAAGAAGGCCUUCGGGUUGUAAAGCUCUUUUAGUCGGAAAGAAAGAGUUGCAAUGAAUAAUUGUGAUUUAUGACGGUACCGACAGAAAAAGCACCGGCUAACUACGUGCCAGCAGCCGCGGUAAUACGUAGGGUGCGAGCGUUAAUCGGAAUUACUGGGCGUAAAGGGUGCGCAGGCGGUCUUGCAAGUCAGAUGUGAAAGCCCCGGGCUUAACCUGGGAAGUGCGUUUGAAACUACAGGGCUAGAGUGCAGCAGAGGGGAGUGGAAUUCCAUGUGUAGCAGUGAAAUGCGUAGAGAUGUGGAAGAACACCGAUGGCGAAGGCAGCUCCCUGGGUUGACACUGACGCUCAUGCACGAAAGCGUGGGGAGCAAACA
RNAcentral lists this ribosomal RNA (427 nucleotides) under uncultured bacterium. RNAcentral describes it as "bacterial SSU rRNA". It matches the Rfam family "Bacterial small subunit ribosomal RNA", at positions 355 to 774 of the family's 1533-position model. The record is from RNAcentral.